CAGCCAUCUAACACCUAAGAUUCUGUUAUCUUAUUUCUGCCUUUUUCACAGUCAACAUCAGAGACGCUUUUUCCCCCCCAAACAGGAUCGCCACCUUUGCCUAUUCCUUCCUCAUUCACCCGAGGGACCCAUACCCAUUCACCGUACGGAAACAUCAAAAACAAGCAUUGCUCCAGUGGCUGGCUCUGGCUUCUCUCCAAGGUGGAGAAACUGAGGUACUUAGAGAUUAAGGAAUUGCCCCAGGAUGCACAGCAACAGCAGAGCCAGAAUUCACACCUGGACCACGUAGCUACAGAGCUUCUGGUCUCUUGUAACACCCUCCCACCGCCAUCUUGUGACCCUGUUACAGGGCAGCGAGUGUGCUUGGUGGGGAUAAUUGAGUCACUUGUGAGAGCAUUUACCAUUCUAAGGUGGGACAAAUACUAUCCCUGUUUCUCAGCUGUAGAAACUGGAAUGCUGAAAGGUUAAGCAACGUUCACGAAGUUCCACAGUGAGUCAUUUUCUGAAUCGGGAAAUAAAUUGGUGGCUAACAUUCCCUUUUCCCUGAUUCCACCAGCCAGCAGGAGUCAUUUAACACUAUUUAC
Molecule: long non-coding RNA, 584 nt
Filed under: Mustela putorius furo (domestic ferret)
Lineage: Eukaryota; Metazoa; Chordata; Mammalia; Carnivora; Mustelidae
Description: lncRNA (ENSMPUG00000029083.1)
Source: RNAcentral